AGGGGCAUAGUUUAAUGGCAGAAUAACGGUCUCCAAAACCGCUGAUGGGAGUUCGAUUCUCUCUGCCCCUG
RNAcentral lists this transfer RNA (71 nucleotides) under Bacteroidales bacterium. RNAcentral describes it as "tRNA-Trp". It matches the Rfam family "tRNA". Rfam says of the family: Transfer RNA (tRNA) molecules are approximately 80 nucleotides in length. Their secondary structure includes four short double-helical elements and three loops (D, anti-codon, and T loops). The record is from RNAcentral. RNAcentral also lists the same sequence under 1 other name. Lineage: Bacteria; Pseudomonadati; Bacteroidota; Bacteroidia; Bacteroidales.